UACCAGCACCCCGAGUGGUCGGGACGAUUAUUGGGCCUAAAGCAUCCGUAGCCGGUUCUACAAGUCUUCCGUUAAAUCCACCUGCUUAACAGAUGGGCUGCGGAGGAUACUAUAGAGCUAGGAGGCGGGAGAGGCAAGCGGUACUUAGUGGGUAGGGGUAAAAUCCGUUGAUCCAUUGAAGACCACCAGUGGCGAAGGCGGCUUGCCAGAACGCACUCGACGGUGAGGGAUGAAAGCUGGGGGAGCAAACCGGAUUAGAUACCCGGGUAGUCCCAGCUGUAAACGAUGCAGACUCGGUGAUGAAUAGGCUUCGUGCCUAUUCAGUGCCGCAGGGAAGCCGUUAAGUCUGCCGCCUGGGGAGUACGGUCGCAAGACUGAA
RNAcentral lists this ribosomal RNA (379 nucleotides) under uncultured bacterium. Its description in RNAcentral is "bacterial SSU rRNA". It matches the Rfam family "Archaeal small subunit ribosomal RNA", at positions 474 to 853 of the family's 1478-position model. The record is from RNAcentral.